This 380-nucleotide ribosomal RNA is filed under the name Gobiesox rhessodon (California clingfish). RNAcentral describes it as "partial 12S ribosomal RNA". It matches the Rfam family "Bacterial small subunit ribosomal RNA", at positions 866 to 1414 of the family's 1533-position model. Lineage: Eukaryota; Metazoa; Chordata; Actinopteri; Blenniiformes; Gobiesocidae. The record is from RNAcentral.
UGUCCGCCCGGGUACUACGAGCCCCAGCUUAAAACCCAAAGGACUUGGCGGUGCUUAAGAUCCCCCUAGAGGAGCCUGUUCUAGAACCGAUAACCCCCGUUUAACCUCACCCUCUCUUGUUCAUACCGUCUAUAUACCGCCCCCCACCCUCUACCCUGAAAAGGUCAAAUAGUAAGCAAAAUUGGCAAAGCCUAAAACGUCAGGUCGAGGUGUAGCAUAUGAGAGGGGAAGAAAUGGGCUACAUUCUCUUCCAAAGAGCAUACGAAAAAAGGGCUGAAAUGCCUUUUAGAAGGAGGAUUUAGUAGUAAGAGGUGAAUAGAGUGCACCCCUGAAGCUGGCCCUAAAGCGCGUACACACCGCCCGUCACCCUCUGCAGUCAA